GGUCCUGUAGGCAAAUUGGCAAAGCCGCGUCACUCAAAAUGACGUGUCUGUGGGUUCGAGUCCCACCGGGACUAC
This 75-nucleotide transfer RNA is filed under the name Mycobacterium phage Wamburgrxpress. RNAcentral describes it as "tRNA-Leu". It matches the Rfam family "tRNA". From Rfam's summary of the family: Transfer RNA (tRNA) molecules are approximately 80 nucleotides in length. Lineage: Duplodnaviria; Heunggongvirae; Uroviricota; Caudoviricetes; Vilmaviridae. The record is from RNAcentral. RNAcentral also lists the same sequence under 15 other names.